UAGUAUUCCAGUCACCCUUUUCAUGCUGCUGCAAUUUCCUCUCCUUAUUGAGAUAUUUGUAUCUACAUAUGGACCAAGCAUCUUUGAUAGAAAAAUGAAGUAUUGGUUCUGAACAUACUUCACAAGGCAAUUGAUACCCUCUUCAACUUUUUGUGUGCUAAGAAAGCAUGGUUCUUCUUAUGCAAAUAGAUUUUGUUGUAUUACUAUGGAAAGUGAAUAGUUCUUAAGGUGUGAUUUGAGCUAAUAUAUUUGUGUGGCUUUGCUCAUUGUCAGGCUUUGUAAGAGUGGGGUCACCUAACAUAAAGGGUUAUUGUAAUUCAUCAUUUAUUCAAUAUAUUGUGUGUAUAUGAAUAUAUAUCAACAAUGAACACUCCAAG
RNAcentral lists this unclassified non-coding RNA (377 nucleotides) under Hevea brasiliensis (rubber tree). The record is from RNAcentral. Lineage: Eukaryota; Viridiplantae; Streptophyta; Magnoliopsida; Malpighiales; Euphorbiaceae.